AGCCGUGUGGUGAGCACAGAGCGAACUAUUCUUUCGCCUUUUACUAAAGAAUACCGUGUGCUCGCCACUUGAAGCGGCAUACGCCAAUUUUGGAAAGGGUGUUCGUAAAAAAAAA
Molecule: small nuclear RNA, 115 nt
Filed under: Theobroma cacao (cacao)
Lineage: Eukaryota; Viridiplantae; Streptophyta; Magnoliopsida; Malvales; Malvaceae
Description: snRNA U5
Rfam family: U5 spliceosomal RNA (bases 1-103)
About the family: U5 RNA is a component of both types of known spliceosome.
Source: RNAcentral